AGAAUCAACGCUGGCGGCGUGCCUAACACAUGCAAGUCGCACGAGAAAGGGUAGCAAUACCUGAGUAAAGUGGCGCACGGGUGAGUAACACGUGACUAAUCUACCCUCGAGUGGGGAAUAACUGAGAGAAAUCUUAGCUAAUACCGCAUAACACUUACGAGUCAAAGCAGCAAUGCGCUUGGGGAGGAGGUCGCGGCCGAUUAGCUAGUUGGCGGGGUAAUGGCCCACCAAGGCGAUGAUCGGUAUCCGGCCUGAGAGGGCGCACGGACACACUGGAACUGAAACACGGUCCAGACUCCUACGGGAGGCAGCAGUGGGGAAUUUUGCGCAAUGGGGGAAACCCUGACGCAGCAACGCCGCGUGGAGGAUGAAAUAUCUUGGUAUGUAAACUCCUUUCGAUGGGGAAGAUUAUGACGGUACCCAUAGAAGAAGCCCCGGCUAACUUCGCGCCAGCAGCCGC
RNAcentral lists this ribosomal RNA (460 nucleotides) under uncultured bacterium. RNAcentral describes it as "SSU rRNA". It matches the Rfam family "Bacterial small subunit ribosomal RNA", at positions 26 to 518 of the family's 1533-position model. The record is from RNAcentral.